AAAUAUCGACGUAAUUGAAAGUUAAAUUAAAUUUUUACAAGAAUUAAAGUACAGAAUAUGUCGAUUUGUAACAAUUCCGAUUCCUGCUUAUGCUGUGCGUUCACAGUCCAUUUUCGUGUUUCAUAAUGAUAAUCUAUAUAACGUAGUAGGAUGUUAAUAACAUGAUCGUAAAAUCUAAAUAUCGAAAAAUAUGUACAAAUUUACUUUUAAAAAUAACAUAUUAUAGAAUUACUUAUUCUUACUAAAACAGUUGUAUAAACUUAACUUUCUAAGAAAGACUAUAUAUAAUAUUAGGUUAGACGACAAAUAGCUAAAGUAUGUGGAAGUUCUUUCUACACAAAAUAAAACAAAGUCUACCAACUGAUAGGGCUACACGAAUUCGAUCAAGUUUUGCCGCAAUAUAUGCAUUUACUGCAUGGAAUAUGGCUAUAAUUACAUUCUAUUAUUCAAUUCAGGACCAGAUACCUAAUACUGCAGAAAAGAAAGAAAAAUUCAUGAAGAAAAUGAAAGAUGCAAAUAUAGACGUAGAAUUUCUAGAAAUCAAAGGAUUUAGUAUCACUACUUCUGAAAAUAAAGAAAAUGAAACAAAUACUGUGGCAACAUAGACCUUUAAGAUGUUAUUAAUUUUAAACUAGAAUAAAAUGAAUUUACAAAAGCGUUUUUACCAAAUUCAAUUUAUUAACAGA
This is a long non-coding RNA of Bombus pascuorum, 686 nucleotides long. RefSeq lists it as uncharacterized. The record is from RefSeq and is a predicted model, not a curated record. The transcript has 3 exons. NCBI's taxonomy places the organism in Eukaryota, Metazoa, Arthropoda, Insecta, Hymenoptera, Apidae.